This 158-nucleotide ribosomal RNA is filed under the name Salmonella enterica subsp. enterica serovar Corvallis. RNAcentral describes it as "partial 23S ribosomal RNA". It matches the Rfam family "Bacterial large subunit ribosomal RNA", at positions 2752 to 2925 of the family's 2925-position model. Lineage: Bacteria; Pseudomonadati; Pseudomonadota; Gammaproteobacteria; Enterobacterales; Enterobacteriaceae. The record is from RNAcentral.
AGUCGGGAUCGGAUAAGCGCUGAAAGCAUCUAAGUGCGAAGCCGGCCACAAGAUUAGAUUUCUUGAGGGUCGUUGAAGACGACAACGUUGAUAGGAUGCAGGUGUAAAGCUGGAGACAGCAAAGCCGAGCAUUACUAAUUGCCCGAACACUUUCUUUA